Molecule: ribosomal RNA, 442 nt
Filed under: uncultured bacterium
Lineage: Bacteria
Description: bacterial SSU rRNA
Rfam family: Bacterial small subunit ribosomal RNA
Source: RNAcentral
UACGGAAGGCAGCAGUGGGGAAUAUUGGACAAUGGGCGCAAGCCUGAUCCAGCCAUGCCGCGUGUGUGAAGAAGGCCUUCGGGUUGUAAAGCACUUUUGUCCGGAAAGAAAAGCUUAGGGUUAAUAACCUUGAGUCAUGACGGUACCGGAAGAAUAAGCACCGGCUAACUUCGUGCCAGCAGCCGCGGUAAUACGAAGGGUGCAAGCGUUACUCGGAAUUACUGGGCGUAAAGCGUGCGUAGGUGGUUUGUUAAGUCUGAUGUGAAAGCCCUGGGCUCAACCUGGGAAUGGCAUUGGAAACUGGCUUACUAGAGUGCGGUAGAGGGGUGUGGAAUUCCCGGUGUAGCAGUGAAAUGCGUAGAUAUCGGGAGGAACAUCUGUGGCGAAGGCGACACCCUGGGACCAGCACUGACACUGAGGCACGAAAGCGUGGGGAGCAAAC